Molecule: ribosomal RNA, 253 nt
Filed under: uncultured bacterium
Lineage: Bacteria
Description: partial 16S ribosomal RNA
Rfam family: Bacterial small subunit ribosomal RNA
Source: RNAcentral
UACGGGGGGUGCGAGCGUUAAUCGGAAUAACUGGGCGUAAAGGGCACGCAGGCGGACUUUUAAGUGAGGUGUGAAAUCCCCGGGCUUAACCUGGGAAUUGCAUUUCAUACUGGGCGUCUAGAGUACUUUAGGGAGGGGUAGAAUUCCACGUGUAGCGGUGAAAUGCGUAGAGAUGUUGAGGAAUACCGAAGGCGAAGGCAGCCCCUUGGGACUGUACUGACGCUCAUGUGGUAAAGCGUGGGGAGCAAACAGG